GACUUGGAGGUCAUGGGUUCAUACCACAGAAACAGCCUCCCUGCAAGAGGUAAGGCUGCAUUACAUCAACCUUUCCCAAAACCCAAAUGGGAUGUUUCAUGCACUAGGUCACCCUUUUAUUAAAUUCAGGUCUUGUAACUUAAAAACAAGCAAUUCCAUUACAUUUUCUCUAGAUUAAUUGUUCAUCCCCAUAAUUAUAAGUUCAUUUUAGCUAAAAAAUUUAAUUAAAAUUUUCAUUAACUUAAUCAAAAUUUUAAUUUCUAACUAAAAGAAUUAUACUUUUUUA
This 286-nucleotide unclassified non-coding RNA is filed under the name Hevea brasiliensis (rubber tree). Lineage: Eukaryota; Viridiplantae; Streptophyta; Magnoliopsida; Malpighiales; Euphorbiaceae. The record is from RNAcentral.